GUGGACCAGGCAGCCUACUGAAGGGCGAAGUCGCGAUGGAGGUCUCCGUCUUGGUGAAAUGGAGCGUGAUUGUUUGAUUGCAUAUGGUGCUAGCAUGCUGAUCUUUGAACGUCUACUACUAUCUAGUGAUCCAUAUCAAGUCCAGGUUUGCAGAAAAUGAGGCUUGUUGGGGUACUACAACUAUAAACUGAAGACUUCGUACUGUUCAAUGUGCAAGAACGGAGAAAACAUGGCCAAGAUGAGGCUGCCAUAUGCCUG
This is a long non-coding RNA of Panicum virgatum (switchgrass), 258 nucleotides long. RefSeq lists it as uncharacterized. Lineage: Eukaryota; Viridiplantae; Streptophyta; Magnoliopsida; Poales; Poaceae. The record is from RefSeq and is a predicted model, not a curated record. The transcript has 3 exons.